CUCACUUUUGUCUUACAUGGUCUCCUGAGCUCCUCCUGGUCCCUAAGGCCAAAGAAAGUAAGUAUAAGCUUCUAUAUUUGUUUUAUAUGAUUUAUUGAAUAAUCGUUUGAUGACCUUCUUGCUAACCAGUCUUUGUCUGAUCUCACUUUUGUCUUACAUGGUCUCCUGAGCUCCUCUCGGUCCCUGAGGCUGGAGAAAGUAAGUAUAAGUAAAGUAAGCGUCUGAAUCUGUUUAAUAUGAUUUAUCGAAUAAUAGUUUUAUGACUUUAUGAAGGAAGUACCAGCUUCUGAUCUUCAUAUGCUCCACCUGGUCACCAAGAAAUGAGAGAGACGGGUCUUCAACUACUGUCUGUCCCAAGCUUGUCUGGUUGUGGAGAUGCCUUCAGUGGAGGAUAUACAAGCAUGCCAUUGAGAUCAAUCCAGAUAUUCCAGAGAAAUGUGUGAAGACAACUGUGUUCUCCACAACUACAUACAGAGCUCAACAGAGGCAUCUGCAGAGUUGGGGAGCAGUGAGGUGCAGCCACUGCCAGGUCUGGGUAGAGUUGGAUCCAUAGACUGUAUAUACUAUGGACAACUUGGUUCCGCCUACCGCCUGUAUACGGAUUUGAAGCCAAAAAGCUCUCGGUAUUUCCGGGAUUUUUCUUCAUUUCCUGAAACCAGCGCUGCGCAGUAGCAAUGCGCGCAUUUGGCCGCGCAAUCGCAGAGAGUCGCUGUGAUGACGCUCGGCUCAAACAGCGUGUCCCCCGGGAGGGCUACGCAAUCCCUGAACGCCCAUAGGCUGUAUCAGGUGUCAAUCAUAGCCAACAUGAACCCCCUAAUAACUUUUAAAAACUGAGCUUCACAGAAAAGAGGACUUGAGCACAAACCAGUCUUACAAUAACUACAUGUCAACAUCACAAGCAGGGGGGAGAAAAAAUUAUGUUCUGUGUAAUAAAUUUCUAGUGUUUGUCCACAGCUCCAUAAGCUUUGCUGGCGGAGGCAGGAUUUAUGACCUAUACUGCAGCCCAUCAACAGAGGGUGCUGUUCUCGGAGUGGCUUCACCCAGCGAGGAGGCAGACUCUGUCCAUUCUAUAUACAGUCUAUGGUUGGAUCCAACAACUCAUCCAGAGAAGCCAUCCGGGUCAGGGAAGGCUUCACAGCAUAUUUCUCAGCAGAGGGAACAGUACCCUGCAAGGAUACACACCACAACGGCUCUUUUAAGAGCCACCCACUUAUUAAAACUGAG
This is a non-coding RNA of Xyrichtys novacula (pearly razorfish), 1224 nucleotides long. The record is from the annotation of a GenBank genome assembly. Lineage: Eukaryota; Metazoa; Chordata; Actinopteri; Labriformes; Labridae.